Molecule: long non-coding RNA, 251 nt
Filed under: Gossypium barbadense (sea-island cotton)
Lineage: Eukaryota; Viridiplantae; Streptophyta; Magnoliopsida; Malvales; Malvaceae
Description: long non-coding RNA (GBAR_LNC008526)
Source: RNAcentral
UAGGCAUAAAUAGGUCCAUGAAAUGGAUUUUGCAGGUCAUGUUCCCCAGAGAACAGAUUAAAGAAACAAAUCCUAUACCCCUGAAGUUACAGUGGGAUAGAUUGAAGUCAUUAAAGUAGAUCUUGUCUUCAUGUAUUGGCGUGAAGUAGAUCGAAGAUAUCAGAUCCUAUCUUCCUAUAUUGGUAGGAAGUGGAUCGAAGAUGCAGAUCUUGUCUUCCCAUAUUGGUGGCGAAGUAGAUCGAAGAAAGCAG